GGCUGUGGUGGUUUUCCUUCUGGUACAUUUGUUAAGUUUUUGAAUGAGCCUAACUCCACCACAUGUAUUACAUAGCAGCUGGCAAAGGCUUGAUGACAAAGAGAUCUCUCACAAGUCUUUCUCACAUCAGAGGCUGGCUCUCACAUAU
Small nucleolar RNA from Cercocebus atys (sooty mangabey), 148 nucleotides. The record is from Ensembl. Lineage: Eukaryota; Metazoa; Chordata; Mammalia; Primates; Cercopithecidae.